RNAcentral lists this long non-coding RNA (1092 nucleotides) under Gadus morhua (Atlantic cod). RNAcentral's name for it is "lncRNA (ENSGMOG00000034692.1)". The record is from RNAcentral. Lineage: Eukaryota; Metazoa; Chordata; Actinopteri; Gadiformes; Gadidae.
AUGUGUUUUGUGGAUCUGGAGAAGGCGUAUGACCGGGUCCCCCGGGAGAAACUGUGGGAGGUGCUGCGGGAGUAUGGGGUAAGGGGGUCUAUCCUCAGGGCCAUCCAAUCUCUGUACUCCCAAAGCGAGAGCUGUGUUCGCGUCCUCGGCAGCCAGUCAGUUUUGUUCUCAGUGGGUGCUGGUCUCCGCCAGGGCUGCGCCUUGUCACCAAUCCUGUUUGUGAUAUACAUGGACAGGAUAUCGAGGCGUAGUCAUGGUGGGGAGGGGUUGCAGUUCGGUGGUCUGAGGAUCUCGUCACUGCUUUUUGCAGAUGAUGUGGUCCUCAUUGGAUCAUCGGCCUGUGACCUUCAGCACUCAUUGGAUCGGCUGGCGGCCGAGGUUGAAGCGGCUGGGAUGAGGAUCAGCACCGCUAAAUCUGAGGCCAUGACUCUUAGCAGGAAACCGGUGGAUUGCUUACUCCGGGUAGGAAAUGAGUCCUUAGCCCAAGUGAAGGAGUUCAAGUACCUCGGGGUCUUGUUCGCGAGUGAGGGUACUAUGGAGCAUGAGAUUGGCCGGAGAAUCGGAGCAGCGGGGGCGGUAUUGCGUUCGCUUUACCGCACCGUUGUAACGAAAAGAGAGCUGAGCCGCAAGGCAAAGCUCUCGAUCUACCGGUCGAUCUUCGUUCCUAUCCUCACCUAUGGUCAUGAGGGCUGGGUGAUGACCGAAAGGACGAGAUCGCGGGUACAAGCGGCCGAGAUGAGUUUUCUCAGAAGGGUGGCUGGCGUCUCCCUUAGGGAUAGGGUGAGAAGCUCAGCCAUCCGUGAGGAACUCGGAUUAGAGCCGCUGCUCCUUUACUUAGAAAGGAGUCAGCUGAGGUGGUUCUGGCAUCUGGUAAGGAUGCCCACUGGGCGCCUUCCUUGGGAGGUGUUUCAGGCACGUCCAGUGGGGAGGAGACCUCGGGGAAGACCCAGGACUAGGUGGAGAGAUUAUAUCUCAACACUGGCCUGGGAACGCCUCGGGAUCCCCCCGUCAGAGCUGGUCAAUGUGGCCCGGGAAAGGGAAGUCUGGGGCCCCCUGCUUGAGCUGCUCCCCCCGCGACCCGACCCCGGAUAA